GUGCAGCCCAGGCUUCUGAGGGAGGCAGAAGAAAGAAAUCCAAGCCUCGGACAAGUUAACUAAGGGCACGGCAGGAAGGAGGUGUCGUCCUCAUCGCCAUGUGCACGUGUCAUCCGUCAGUGCUCCAUGCAGUGCUCCACCACGGCAUCCGCCACUCUGCCACCAGCUCCGCGGGGAUGGACGCACAGGCCCCAGUCAUGGCCCUGCCCUGAGGAGAUGCUGGUCGUCUUCCUGCUCAUUCACUCCCCUGUGCUGCACUGCUGGGGUCAGACAAGGCUCCAUCCAAGAACCCAUGACUUCAAAAGAAAGAAACCUUUGUCCUCAAAUUUGGUAACAGGCAAACGGUCUGCGUGGAAGCCCUGUCUGCAGCCUCUGCUCACUCCAGGACGUGCUGCCCUCACUGCUCCUCUGAUGUGCCCCCGGCUCAAGGCUGAGCAUUCCCGUAUCCACGCAGGAAGGCCGGGGGACUGGCUCCCAAACAGCGGCCAGGACCUUGGGGGCACCCAGGGAGACUGGGGCCCUGCACCUCAGGGCUUUGGAUCCAGGUCUGGGACGAGCCCUGGGAAUCAGCAUGGGAGCAGUGGCAGCCAUCCUGUGGCCCUGAGGGGAGCUGGCUGGAGGACAACCUGAAAUGCUGAGGGCAGCAGGAGGAAACACAGAAGGAACCUGCGUCCUGGGUGACAUCCCGGACCUGCUGCACUCGCCGGCCCUGGAGCCACCUGCCUCUGGCUUCAUGUGAGCUGUCACACUGUUAUUAUUAUUUCGUUCCUCAAGUAGGGGUUUCCUGCUCCUUGCAGCCGGAAGCAGUAAGUGGUAGCCACCCCACCCCUGCAGGGCAGUCUUCUGAUGGCUCUGAGCUCCCUGAGGUGGGGGCGAGGCAGGGUCUGUGCUCCACUCUGAGGGCCCAGUGGAGCAGCAGGUGUUCGAACACAUAGGGUUUACCCCAGGCAGAAACCACCCUCAUAAGGGCAUGAGACCCAGGCAGAGUGAGCUCUCUGGCCUCUUGGUAUUUUCUUUUGUGUCUGUCUUCUCAGCAGCCUAUGAGCUCCUCCAGGGCAAAAAACUGCCAUCAUGCUAAGGGGUUCUGGACCCUGGGGCCAGGCACAGGGCCAGGGACAGAGUGGGCAGGUAACGAAGGCUUGCUGGGCACCGUGGGAGAGAAGGGAACGGAGGCAUUGAGGGGCAAGAGAAAAGGAGAAGUGGAAGGCCAGACAGGCAGAGAAGGAAAGGUUCGUGGAGAGCAGUCUCUUCAUGGGGACCCAAGGAGGCCCCACCAGAGAGGAACUGAGGCUGUGAAAUGGAAGGAUGGAGGCCUGAGGGAUCCAGGCCAGUGGACAAGUGAGCCCGAGCAGACGGAACCAUCCCCAUGCCUAUCUGGUUGUCUCCUCCUCCUCCUGCUCCUCACCCCCUUCCUCCUCCUCCACCUCCUCCUUCUCCCCCUCCUCCUCCUUCUCCCCCUCUUCCUCCUCGCCCUCUCCCUCCCCCUCUUCUUCCUCCUCCUCCCCCUCUUCCUCCCCCUCUUCAUCCCACUCUUCCUCCUCCCCUCUUCCUCCCCCUCUUCCUCCUCCUCCCCCUCUUACUCCUCCCCUUCUUCUUCCCCCUCUUCCUCCUCCCCUCUUCCUCCUCCUCCUCCUCCCCCUUCCUUCUCCUCCUCUUCUUCCUCCUCCUUCCCCUUCCUCCUCCUCCUCCCCCUCUUCUUCCUCCUUCUCCUAUCCUCUUUUUCUUCCUCAACCUUUUCCUCCUCCUCCUCCUCCUCCUUCCCCGCCUUACCCCUCCUUCCCCACACUCUGAAAUGAGCACAUGGCUCAGACUGAGAGGACAAACCUCCAGCUGAAUUUAGUUGUAGCUGUGGUUCCCCAAAAUGCUUUGAGGAUUCAUCAGAACCAGUAGCUGCCUCUCUGCUUCCUCAUCUACACACCUAAUUUUGUAGCUUCAGAACAGGUGUGACUCAGGCAGAGGAAGGGCUACACAGGUGUCACUGUGCCCACCCCUAGGGAGACUGCUACAGACAGACUUCCCGGUGGGACCCGGCCCCCACCCAUGCAUGGUGGCCACGGGCAUGAGGAGGGUGAUAAUGACAAGGGGAGCCACGAUGACCACAGGGUUUAUAGAGAUCUCGCCAUUUGCUGAGCAAUGUGGAGGAACGUUACACACACCAUGUCGCCUCCCCCGAUGCCUGCAGGGCAGGUAUCAUUGCCCUGCAUUCUAUUGAGGAGGAAAUUGAGUUGGAAGUGCCCAAGAUCACGUCGUUAAUAAAUGGCAGGGCCUAAACAAGCCCUUAGCCGCUAC
RNAcentral lists this long non-coding RNA (2289 nucleotides) under Homo sapiens (human). RNAcentral's name for it is "non-protein coding LINC00940:3". Lineage: Eukaryota; Metazoa; Chordata; Mammalia; Primates; Hominidae. The record is from RNAcentral.